RNAcentral lists this long non-coding RNA (2319 nucleotides) under Homo sapiens (human). RNAcentral's name for it is "PREDICTED lncRNA (TCONS_00018748)". Lineage: Eukaryota; Metazoa; Chordata; Mammalia; Primates; Hominidae. The record is from RNAcentral.
GAAAUGGCAGAACUGGGAUUUGAACUUUCAAACCUGGGCACCUCUCAACUAUACUUUCUGCUACCUGUCAUCAGGGAAGAUGGUACAUAGACAGGAAGGGCUAUACACAAAGCAUGGUGCCGGCAUCUGCUUCUGGUGAGGGCCUCAGGAAGCUUACAAUCAUCUUGGAAGGUGAAGAGGAAGCCAGCGCAUCACAUGGCAAGAGAGGGAGCAAGAGAGAAGGGGACAGUGCCGCACACUUUAAAAAAAAACCUUAUCUCACGAGGCAGAACUAACUGAGUGAGAGUUCACUCAUCACCAAGGGAAUGGUGCUGAGUCAUUCAUGAGGGAUCCCCCUGCCGCCCCCGUGAUCCAAUCACCUCCCACCAGACCCCACCUCCAACACUGGGGAUUACAUUUCAACAUGAGACUUGGGGGGGACAAACAUCCAAACCAUGUCAGUCUUCAACCCCUCUUCCUGACAUACAACUCCUAAAACUCUUAGAAUCUCCAAAGUGCUGUCUUUUUAUGUGUUAGUAAUUGGCUAGUGGCUCACAGCCCCUUGGUAGCUUCAGGAUGGGGCCUGGUCACUGGAAAGACCAAGUCAUAAUUAGAGGGUUGAGACUUUCAGCCCACCCCCAACAUCUGGGGAGAAGAGAAGGGCCGAAGCUCAAAUUGAUCACCAAUGGCCAGUGUUUUAAUUAAUCAUGUGGCCAGGCGUGGUGGCUCACGCCUGUAAUCCUAGCACUUUGGGAGGCUGAGGCAGGUGGAUCACGAGGUCAGGAGAUGGAGACCAUCCUGGCUAACACGGUGAAACUCCAUCUCUACUAAAAAUACAAAAAAUUAGCUGGAUGCGGUGGCAUGCGCCUGUAGUCCCAGCUACUCAGGAGGCUGAAGCAGGAGAAUCACUUGAACCCGGGAGGCAGAGGUUACAGUGAGCCGAGAUUACACCACUGCACUCCAGCCUGGGUGACAGAGCCAGACUCCAUCUCAAAAAAACAACAACAAAAAAAGACAAAUAAAAUAAAUAAAAAUAAUGAAUCAUGCCUAUGUAAUGAAGCCUCCAUAAAAACACAAAAGAAUAGGGUUCAGGGAGCCUCUGGAUAGCUGAAUAUCUGGAGGCUCCUAGAGAGUGGCAUGUCCAGAGGGCAUGGAAGCUCUGUGCCCCUUUUUCACCCUAUACACCUCAUCAUCUGUAUGCUUGGUAAUAUCCUUUAUAAUAUACCAGUUAAACGUAAGUGUUUCUCUGAGUUCCUUGAGCCACUCUAGCAAAUCAAUGGACUUCAAAGAGAGGAUCGUAGGAAUCCCAACUUGAAGUCAGUUGGUCGGAAGUUCUGAGGCCCAGACUUGCGACUGGUAGGAAGUAGGGGCAGCUUUGUGAGACUGAGCCCUCAACCUGUGGUUUCUACUGCUAUCGCCAGGUAGAUAGUGUUGGAACAGAAUUGGAGGGAGCCCAGCUGGUAUCCACUGCAGAACUGCUCGCUUGCUUGCUGUGUGAGGAUAGACCCACACACAUUUGGUCACAGAAGACUUCUGUGGUCACACAGACUUCUGUUCAUCACAGAAGUCUUCUGCGAUGAUUGUUGUGGUGUGAAAGCAGAGGAGAAACACAGUUUGAAUUUUUCUACUUUCACACUGUGUUUACUGAAGGUUGCUCAAUGUAGGCUUGGGAUGGUUGGUCCGGGGUAUGUAAUAGAAGGUGCUUAAAAGUGCUCCUCAACAGUUUUGAAGCGUGUGGGACAAAAAAAAAAGUGCUCCUCAAAGGGUAGGCAGGAUAGUGUAAUGCUUAAAUAUAUGGAAUCUGGAUCCAAACUGGGCUCUGGUAUUUCCUUGUGAUGUGGACAACUUUACUUAUAUGUAAACUCAGUUUCUUCAUCCUAAAAUGGCAUAAUAACAGUAUCUACCUCCUAGGGUUGUUACAAAGUUUAAAUCUGUUAACGUAUAUAAAAAAGACUUUUGCCUGUCUCAUAGUAAGCACUCAACAAAUGUUAGCUAUUUAGAUUCCAAACAUAUAUAACAUUUGAUUAUAAACCAUGGAAACAUCUUAUGUAUGGUAUAGCAGAAAGAACAGGGAUUUUCAAAAUAGCCUAAGUUAUAUAAUCUUGAGCAAGUUGUAUGGCCACUGUGAGCCUUGUCUGAAAAAGGAGGAUGAUUACAUCAUAGGAUAGUUGUGAGAAUUAAAUGAAAUAAUAUAUGUGAAACACUUAGCAAAGAGUGGCACCUAACUGAGGCUCACAGUGUUUCUUCCCCUUUUUCCUAUGUCAGUAGUAUGCUGUCUUAUAAUUAUUUACUAUUAUGUUCUCAACGAGGAGUCUUAAGCUUUUAUAAUCUCCAAACUGG